GCUCCAACCGGGGUUGUGCGCACCGAGGGGUGGCGGGCUCGGGGGUGUGAGCUGACGUGAGACUGGAGAAAGGCCUACGCGGGAUGAAAGGUGGAACUGGAAGGCUUUCCUGUUGCAGGGCUGCAGACUCCUUCAUGACUGAGGUGUCAGCUGGCUAAAGAGGCCAAGGGCUGUCUGAACACUUUGCAACUGUAACAUGCCACCUCCUUUGCCAGGGUUGACAUCCUGCACAGAGGGAAGUGAUAGUGCUUUGCUAAGAUCUUCAGGCCUGCUUUUCCUUCAUUCUCCCUGCAGCCACUUGGCCCAAAUGACGAACGCGCAGCUUGACUGCCAUAGCUACAUGCCCAGACUGUAAGCUUCAUGCCUGCGGUGUCCUCCAUGGAAGUGAGCCGUAGUGACUGUAUGUAGAGAGCUGCCACUUUCACCUGUGUUCACAGGUACCUGCAGGAGGAACACCUGGACAUCAUGGUUCAGCCAUCUUCCCCAUGAGUGUUUGUUUUGUUUAUAGUUGGUUUGGUUUUUUCUCUCUCUCUCUCUCCAGUGUAUGAUAGGGGAACUGAAGUGAUGGGGCUUUUUGCUCUAUCAGGAGGGUCAGUUUACCUCCUGGAAGGUUUUUUAGCAGAGGGGCAGAAAGCAGGUGCUGCAGAAGGUGGAAGGCUCCUGCACUGGGAUUCAGUGGUGUUGCCGGUGUGGUAGCCCCGCAGCUCACCCCACCUCACUCCGGGUGCUGAGCAGGGGAGCACGGGUUUGCCGUGGGCUGAACACCCUUGCAUCUGUGCUUGCAGUCCUGUGCUCUGCUCUCUACACUGCAGAAACUCCACAGUCCUGGGAGCAGGGAGAAGGACACGCCUGUGCUCUCCCAAAUGCCAUUCCCUCCGAUGGUACGGCAUUCACCCGGAGCUAGCUCCUGACCCCGCAGCUACUCGCAGGAGAACAUAGAGCGCCCUUCUUUUUCAGGAACUGCUCCUUUAGCGUUGGUAUUUUGUCCGUGGGCCUUGCCGCGCUGCAGUGCCGCCUCCGCGGCUGUCCCCGCGUCCCUGCGCCCGGCGCGCUCUGCCGGUGUCUCCUCCGCCGGCUGCGCCUCCCUGCCAGCCCCAGCCGGGCCGACCCGGCUGCAGCCACCGAAGGGCAGGAGGAAAUGCAGCCAUGCGGCAGGAGGUGGCGAGCGAGGUCCUAGGGAGCGCUGUCAGCGGGGCCCUGAGUGUCCUGGUGACAGUGGGAUGCUCUUUCAGGCUUGCAAUCGGCUCUGAAAACGCCAGCAUGUGUGCAGAAAUGUUGCGGGUUUUUUUCAGAAUUGUUUUGUGUCAAGGUGAAGGGCAACUAAGAAUGCUGAACUGGUUUUAUAGGAGUGUCAAAACAGGGAUAAGGCCAGGGCAGAAGAGGCAAACUUGGAGUGUUCCUUUCUGGUGGAAUUACUCCUUGACCAGUCACACUGGGACCGUUCUGCCAGGGACAGAUGGUGUUAGUUCCUUGGGCUCCCAGUGCGGGUUAUUCUGUAGGGACCCACAGAACAGAAACUAAAUAUUUUUUGAUGCUGAAGACACCUAAGAGACUUUCAACAGCAGAUUUUAAGGGGCUGAUCAACUUGAUUUGCUUUGUAAAUUGCGAAACCUUUCCUUUAUUGGAAAACCUUUCCUUUAUUGUUAAAUGUGCAUGUUCACUGUGGCAAAGUAAAAUGCUGAUCAAGUUGAUGUGUUUAAACAGAAUUUUCUGUAUUUUAAGUAGAAUUCUCUGGAUCUUUAAGCUCUGAGUUUUGAAGCAGAAUUCAAUGUCCCUGUCCCUUUGAUCUCUGAUCCAGAUGGAAGUUGAUGGUCUCAUUCUCCCCUUUAACCUUUCUUUUAAAUGUAAAAAGAUGCUAUCAGGGGACUUAAGCAGAUGUUGCUCAAUGUUUAUGGAAAGCUUUUGUAUUUUAUGACCUGCCUGGCAAUUGUCUGAGAAGAUGACAUCUUCUUUUACACUCAGUCUGAAGUUCUGCACGUCCUGAACUGAACUUUGCUUGAAACUGAGUAGGGGACAUUGCCCCAAACAACCAGCAGGGACCACUAGAGACCCCCAAAGAGUUCUACAAAGGUGCAGUGACACAUACUGCAUAAGGUCGUGCAAAUGAAGCAAUUAUGCUGUAGGCAGGAGUAAUUAUGUAUUAGAUAGGCAGGUUUAUGUAGAUUUCAGUGUGUGAAUUCUCUCACAUUUUAAACCUUGGUCAGCUUGAUUUGUGGAAAAUCUCUGCUUUGCAUCUCAGGGAUACAUCAAAGGGUUUCUAAACCCUUUAUCCAUAUUUAGAGAGUUCUGAAAGUUGGAAACAAAAGCAGUAAAUUGAUUUACAGUUUAGAAGCCUUUGCAGAAUAAUUAAUUUAUUGGAGAUGCUGCCCAGGCAUUCAAAGAGGAGAAGAAAGUAAGCAGAUCCCAGCAGGAAGGAGCAGAUGCAGCCAAGGUUAAGACAGAAUCUGCUGUAGCCAUGCCAGCGGGGCCUGUUGCAGAGACGUUCCGAGUUAUUCAAGAGGCAGUGACUGAAGAGUACAUGAGAAGGACUCAGGGCAUCUUUCAGUUUGAGCUAUCUGGUGAUGGUGGAGGGACUUGGUACAUUGACCUGAAGACCAAGGGUGGGAGUGCUGGCUUCGGAAAGCCUCCUGUGACGGCCGAUGUGGUUAUGAGCAUGUCGAGUGCCGACUUUGUAAAGAUGUUCACAGGUGAGGGACAAAGGCCUUUGUCAAGGGACACAGGCAGUGGGGCCCAGAAAAGCCUCUGCUGACAGGGGAGUAGAGCAGCUUCUCACUUUGUGAUCUGGGAUUGGAGGAGCUUUCAGCUUUUUUGGCUCAAGGGAGAGUGCAGGCAAGAACUGCUUGGAUUUUUCUGCACUUCUGCAUCCUGUGAACAGGAAGAGUGCAAAAGGUUACACUGCUUUUAUUAACCAGGUACUGACAUUUUAGCAGCCAGUGUAUCUUCAGAAAUAAUCCAGUCAGUGUGUUGGAUUUGUGCUUUGUGUAUAUCUGAGCAUCAUUUCCUAAAUGUGCACUGCUUGUACCAGGAGGACUUGUUAGGAAAGUAAGCUGAUAUGUUUCAUCUCCCCUGAGAGAUUGGAGCCAUAUGGUCUUUUCUCAGUUAAAUCAGUCAUAAUAUAAUAAUUUCAUUAAGUAACAGGAUACAACAUCUGAUGUCAUUUGCUCCUCUUUGCUUUCUCAUUCCAGAAAACAUAUUUACUGAUUAAAUAGUGUUGUACAGGAGGCAGUGUCAGAAUUUUCAUAAUGUUAAAUUGCUACACUUCUUUGUAAGUGUGAUUUCUACAAGUAACACUAUUCAAAACAGCUCCAAAUCUUUUUUAACACACUUCAAAAUGAAGUCAGAAGAGAACAGAUUAAUAAUGAAAAAAAAAAAAAAGUUAUCCAUUAAAUUAAUCAUUGCAAUCAAGUCCUCAGAAAUGUUUUUACAGAUGGACUGGAAAAGUAAAUUCUACUUCGAUUAAUCAGCCUCCUCCUUUACAGCAAAGUUCUUCAAUAUUGUGAAAUGUAGAUAGAUAAAGAUAUAUGGAAAUUAUUUGUUAAAUUCAGAUAGUGGAAGUAUAUGAGAUUUAAUCACAGAUUCUGAUUUAGCAUUUUUACCACGUGGAUAAAACUAUGAAUGAUAUUCCAAACCAGAAUUUCUAAAGCACUCAAAAAUCUUACUCUAGGGAUAUUACUAUUUCCUGUGCACAGCCUAUAUACAAAUUAUUUUAAUUUUCUGAUUAUUCUGUUUCUUCAUUUUAGAUAAACUAAAGCCAUUCAUGGCUUUCAUGCCGGGAAAUUCUAGUAUUCAAGGUGAUAUGAUGCUAACAUUGAGUCUGGAAAAGAUGCUGCUAUAGUUAAAUUUUGAACACUAGCAGAAUCCUGGUCUUUCUUAUGUAACUACAGAGCUAUUUUAAAACACCAGUCCUCAUUUUUUGCUGAUGCAGAUCAGCAUUUUGUAGAUCAAGAUCAAUAGAUUUUGUAAUUGCUACAGAAGUCACAAAUCAGGUUGAUUAUAAUACCCAA
Non-coding RNA from Taeniopygia guttata (zebra finch), 4004 nucleotides. Lineage: Eukaryota; Metazoa; Chordata; Aves; Passeriformes; Estrildidae. The record is from RefSeq and is a predicted model, not a curated record.